Molecule: long non-coding RNA, 1535 nt
Filed under: Ananas comosus (pineapple)
Lineage: Eukaryota; Viridiplantae; Streptophyta; Magnoliopsida; Poales; Bromeliaceae
Description: long non-coding RNA (ACOM_LNC029327)
Source: RNAcentral
CUUCGGACCCCAAAUCAAUAUCAAAACAGGGAUUUCUUCGGACCCCAAAUCAAUAUCAAACGGGGAUUUCUUCGGACCCCAAAUUAAUAUCAAACAGGGAUUUCUUCGGAUCCUAAAUUAUAAAUCAAACGGGGAUUUCUUCAGACCCAAAAUCAAUAUCAAAGCGGAAAUUUCUUCGGACCCCAAAUCAAAAUCAAAAGGGAAUUUCUUCGGACCCCGAAUCAAAUUUCCAAAGGGGAUUUCUUCGGACCCCAAAUCAUAAAUCAAACGGGAAUUUUUUCGGACUCCAAAUCAAAUCAAGAUCAAACGGGAAUUUCUUUGAACCCCAAAUCAUAAAUCAAACGGGGAUUUCUUCGGACCCCAAAUCUAAUUGCAAAAUCAAAAAGGGACUUCUUCGGACCCUAAAUCCAAUCAAAAAGGGAAUUUCUUCGGACCCCAAAUCCAAUUGCAAAUCAAAAGGGAAUUUCUUCGGACCCCAAAUUAAAUUGCAAAAUCAAAUUCGGACCCCAAAUCAAAUUGCAAAUCCGAAUUAAGUUCACAUACGAACCCAAAUCCGAAUCAAGUUCCUAUACGAACCCAAAUCCAAAUCAAGUUCACAUACGAACCCAAAACCAAAUUAAGUCCACAUCCAAACCCAAAACCAAAUCAAGUCCACAACCCAUUCCACAAAUAAACCCAAAUCCAAAACCAAAUCAAGUCCACAUCCAAACCCAAAACCCAAAUCCGAAUCAAGUUCACAUACGAACCCAAACCAAAUCAAGUCCACAUACGAACCCAAAUCAAAUCAAGUCCACAUACAAACCAAAUCCGAACCAAGUCCACAAAUAAAGCCCAAAACCAAAACCCAAAUAAAAUCCGAACCCAAAUCCAAACCAAAUCAAAUCCAAACCCAAAACCAAAUAUAGUCUCCAAAUAAACCCAAACCCAAAACCCAAAUAAACCCAAACCCAAAACCCAAAUUAAAUCCGAACCCAAACCCAAAUUAAGUCCACAUCCAAACCUAACCCAAACCAAGUCCACAUAAAGAACCCAAACCCAUUUCACAAAUAAAAUCCAAACCCAACCCAAACCAAGUUUAUAAAUAAAACUAAAAUCCAAACCAAAAUCCAAACCAAAUCAAACCCAAACCCAACUCAAAUCAAGUCCACAAUCCAAAUCCAAACCCAAAACCCAAAUCCAACUUCCAACUUAGGCUCAUGAACCUAAACCAUAUCUAAGUUCGUGAAUCAAAUCUCAAAUCCUAUACCCAAGUUCAUGAAUCAAGUCUCAUGAACCAAAACUCAUAAACCAAGUUCAUGAACCAUGAACCAUGAAUCAUGAACCAUGAUCCAAGUUCAUGAACAAAAUCCCAUAUACCCAACUUCAUAAACUAUAAACCAAGUUCAUGAAUCAUGAAUCAAGUCCAUAAACCAAGAUUCAUGAGCCAAAUUCAUAAACCUCAUCCAUGAACCAUAUCCAAGUUCAUGAACCAAAUCUCAUACACCAAACAUCAUGAACCAUAAACCACAACCCACGCCCAUGGACCAAAUCCCAUA